Molecule: long non-coding RNA, 1718 nt
Organism: Fopius arisanus
Lineage: Eukaryota; Metazoa; Arthropoda; Insecta; Hymenoptera; Braconidae
Exons: 3
Source: RefSeq, a predicted model, not a curated record
UUUUAUUUGUUCACACAGACCAAUUAACACUCAAUGGCUGUCUCACUUUUUUUCUUUCAAGUCACAUGAGAAAGGAGUCACGAGACUCGGUCAAAAAUUUAUAGCCGCGGUUAAAUGGAAUUUCUGUUGAUGGAUUGUCUCGGUGUAAUCGUUUUACUCGAUUUAUCGGAGAUUCGGAUGACUGAUAUCAAUACCCUGAUAUCGAUACAAUCAUGUGAUGGUGUUCUUCAAGGGGAGGUCUACCGGUCUUCACCUGUGAACUCUUUAGCUAUGUGGAGAUUUUCCAUGGGUUUUACUAAAAAAUUUCCAGUGUCACAGAUAUUGUUUGUGUACAUGGCCAUUGACUAGUUGCGUCAUGUUCUAGCUCAUUAUCACUUGUGUAACGUCGGAUUCACUGGGCAUGAGCAUGUGGAGAUUUUUAUGGACAUCUGGGUGUAGUCUGUCCUGAAAUAUUGGGCAAUUUGAUAAAACUUCGUCUCGGAGCGGAUGCCUCAUGUCUUCAGGUGUGGAAAUGGCUUUUCUUUAAAGGAUUGAGCAUUUGUUGCAGAAUAAUUUGUUGAAGAAUAAUUUACGAAAGAUAACGAGAGGUCUCAAUUAGAAAUUUCGAGAAUCCGUGCGGCCUGGAAGGAUUUCCUGGAGUAAAUAAAACAGGUAAAGGGGGAAAUGAGAGUAAAUAGUGUCCAGUUUACAUGGGGCAAUCCCAGAUGUUGACGUUAAUUAGUCACGAGGAUUUGACCUAGAGUUUUUAGGAUGGGCUCUGAUAAUUCAAGAUGUACUCGAAAAGCUCGUGACGUUCGAGUUCCUAUUCUAUUUGUACCAGUUUAUAUCUAUCACACUCGAUGGAGAAAUAUAAUCCUUGGUACUAUAAAAAUACGUAAAUAAUUGAUACCAGUUAUCUUCACAGCAAUACGAUAAUCUGUCAUGUGAGGUGUUGGUAAGGAUUGGGUUUUCCUGGUAAAUCGGAAGUUUACUUGACCCAGAAUAAUUUACGUUGAAGCUAGUAUCGAAAAUUCUUAUUCUCUAUCAGGUAUCCGCCGCAUGAAUGAACUCACACGUUCACACAUGAAUUUAUUCUCUGGAAAAUCUUUAGACAUUUCAUCGAAAAGUAUCCAGACGGAAAACUCGAUGUCUACUAUUUUAAUUUUCCUAUAAUUUCCUCUGGAAAUUAAUUCGUUGUUGCAUUCAAUCGGAAAAUACCACAAUUUAACUGUAAAUACUUGUUCCGAGGUGAAUUUAUUCUCUGGAAAAUCUAGGAAUGGAGAAUUUUAUGGGGAUAUAGCCGGAAAACAUUCUAUUGUAGAUUUUAUUUAAAUUUGCAAUAAUUUUCGACGGGAGUGGACAGAUGUUGCUUCCAGUUAUCUGUGGGAAUUAUUUUAUCGUUUUAGUGGAUGGGAAAAUGAUAUCAUUUAACUGAAAUCACGGGUUUGACUUUCAAUAUUUAUCUUUGACAUUCGAACCUCGUGGUCUCGUGAUGUUCAGCCGCUAAUUUUUCUCGCUUCAAAGUGCAAAAUACUCGUGUUGAAUUUCGACAAUUUAUUUAUAAAUUCAUUCUCUCUGGGCAAAAAAUUUACAUGGGGCAUACGGUGUGAGGAACGUUAAACGCCUUAUGCCAACUCCUAUUUCAUUUCUGGGGAAAGAAUUUAAAUUCGAGAGGAGCCAAAUAUAUCUUGCACUUGUCUUCUUAAACUUCUCAAUUUUUCCGAAUUUUUCAUUCCAAA